CUGACUGCUAUCGGAUUGGUACUAAGCCAUGUGGGUCAUUGUAGCAAUACAAGGCAGACGGCUCAGUAACACGUAGUCAAUCUACCCUAUGGACGGGGAUAACCUCGGGAAACUGAGGAUAAAACCCGAUAGAUCAUAGUGCCUGGAACGGCUUAUGGUCCAAAUGAUUCGUCGCCGUAGGAUGGGACUGCGGCCUAUCAGCUUGUUGGUGAGGUAAUGGCCCACCAAGGCUAUUACAGGUACGGGCUCUGAGAGGAGAAGCCCGGAGAUGGGUACUGAGACACGGACCCAGGCCCUAUGGGGCGCAGCAGGCGAGAAACCUUUGCAAUGUGCGCAAGCACGACAAGGUUAAUCCGAGUGUUUCCUGCUAAAGGAAUCUUUUGUUAGUUUUAAAACCACUAUUGAAUAAGGGGUGGGCAAGUUCUGGUGUCAGCCGCCGCGGUAAAACCAGCACCUCAAGUGGUCAGGAGGAUUAUUGGGCCUAAAGCAUCCGUAGCCUGUUCUGUAAGUUUCCGGUUAAAUCCAUUAGCUCAACUAAUGGGCUGCCGAAAAUACUGCAGAACUAGGGAGUGGGAGAGGUAGACGGUACUCGGUAGGAAGGGGUAAAAUCCUUUGAUCUAUUGAUGACCACCUGUGGCGAAGGCGGUCUACCAGAACACGUUCGACGGUGAGGGAUGAAAGCUGGGGGAGCAAACCGGAUUAGAUACCCGGGUAGUCCCAGCUGUAAACGAUGCAGACUCGGUGAUGCGCUGGCUUGUGGCCAGUGCAGUGCCGCAGGGAAGCCGUUAAGUUUGCCGCCUGGGAAGUACGUACGCAAGUAUGAAACUUAAAGGAAUUGGCGGGGGAGCACCACAAGGGGUGAAGCCUGCGGUUC
Molecule: ribosomal RNA, 874 nt
Filed under: uncultured archaeon
Lineage: Archaea
Description: bacterial SSU rRNA
Rfam family: Archaeal small subunit ribosomal RNA
Source: RNAcentral